This 433-nucleotide ribosomal RNA is filed under the name uncultured bacterium. RNAcentral describes it as "partial 16S ribosomal RNA". It matches the Rfam family "Bacterial small subunit ribosomal RNA", at positions 29 to 507 of the family's 1533-position model. The record is from RNAcentral.
AACGAACGCUGGCGGCAUGCCUAACACAUGCAAGUCGAACGAGACCUUCGGGUCUAGUGGCGCACGGGUGCGUAACGCGUGGGAACCUGCCCUUAGGUUCGGAAUAACUCCCCGAAAGGGGUGCUAAUACCGGAUAAUGUCUUCGGACCAAAGAUUUAUCGCCUUUGGAUGGGCCCGCGUUGGAUUAGCUAGUUGGUAGGGUAAAAGCCUACCAAGGCGACGAUCCAUAGCUGGUCUGAGAGGAUAAUCAGCCACACUGGGACUGAGACACGGCCCAGACUCCUACGGGAGGCAGCAGUGGGGAAUAUUGGACAAUGGGCGAAAGCCUGAUCCAGCAAUGCCGCGUGAGUGAUGAAGGCCUUAGGGUUGUAAAGCUCUUUUACCCGGGAUGAUAAUGACAGUACCGGGAGAAUAAGCUCCGGCUAACUCCGUG